GAACGCCGACAUUCAGUCAUUUCCUGAUUAUGAAAUUGUUUUUUUAACCAUGUUCUCCAGACACUAGACCCCAGCUGUCCAGCAGUGUCCCAGGCCCUGGAUGCUAUAAGAGAGGUAAGGCUGGACAGCUUCAGCCUGGCUAGUCUCAGAGAUCAGAAAAUCAUCAACCUCUGGUUCAACACCAGACUCCGUCCCUUCCUACCUGCCGUCUCCACUGACUUCCUGUCCUGCCUCAGCACCAAGAACUUCAGCUGCUCCACCUACCAGACCAUCGUUCAGAUCCUGAGCAGCCACCACUCAGCCAUGGACCAGUCCAGACAGAUAUCAGUCUACACUACCUUCAUAGAGGUCUUUCUCUCCAGGAACAACACAGCAGACCCCAGCUGUAGCUCUGACACCCUGAACAGUGGAGACUGGCUGCUGAAGAACUUCAGAGGAUUCUCUGCCUUCGCCUCCUUCAAGGACAUGCAGAGACUACUGACCACCUUCUCUGUGAUGGAGGCCCUGCCCCAGCUCACAGUGAGACAGUUAGCAGAGGUGUCCUCUAGUCCAGACCAGCUCAGCUCUGCUGCAGACGUCACCAUGCUGAUGAACUACGUACCCAACAUCCUCUUCACUGACUUCUUCAAUGACUUCUCUCUAGCCAUCACCGGUCAAGAGUCUAAGUUCCCAGUGGCGGUGCGUUCAGCCAUGCUCCAGCAGGUGUUUGAACGCGGGAACCUAUCAGACCGCUCUGUUAGCGACCAGGAAGUGCUCACCUGGCUUCAGAGCAGGCUCCGCCCACUGCUGAUCAACCUGUCCCCACUCCACGUCGCCCCCCUCUUCAGUGUGGUCGCACAGAGGAACUGCAACAUCGGACAGCAGCUGGUGGAGGUGCUGAACGCCACCCUCCCUACACUUCAGGACAACACACAGAGAAACAUCUACGAUCAAAUCACCCUCUCCCUCCAAGGCUCCUCCCCACUCCGUUGCUAUGGCGCAAACUACAACCACAGUUUCUAUGGUUACCUGGAGAGUUCCUUCCUGAGUUUCGGCUUCCCCAACCUGACCACCUUCCUCUCCCUCAUACCCCAUAGCCAGAUGGAACAGCUGGUGAACUCUCUGCCUGUCUCUGACCUGGGUCGUUUCCUGCGCCGCCCCAACGUUGUCGACGACGACACAAAGCUCUGCCAACUCUACAGCAACUAUGCCAAGACUCCACUGUUCCUGGGGACUGAGAGUAUCCCUGGGUCAGUGAGGCGUCCCACACUGCCGUGUGUCUGGCCCCAGGCUCUCAGCAGCAGUCAGAGGUCAGAGGUCAACGCCUGGUUUGACCUGAGGCUGAAGAACUACCUGCCCUUCCUCACCAGGAGCCUGGUGACCUCCGCCGCUGUCAAGACCGCCCCUUGUCUGGCCUUCCAGAAACUGUAAGGGAUUUUCCCAAAAAUAUAUUAGUACAUAUUUGUUUCUGAUUUUAUUGAAAGGGAUAGACAGAAACCAGCUGAACGUCAGACAGAAGACUGGUGGGACCGGAAUUCAGUCCCGUGCAGGCUGCAGGCUGCAGGCUGGGAUUUGCAGAUGUGCAGAGGGCCGCGGCUUCCACCUGUUAUGACGUCUUACUGCGACUUGUUACCACGGGAACAGCCACCUUCAAGGGCUUAGUAUUGGUGGAACUCUUGUAGAAGAGUUUCUUACUGGCCGUGUUAC
Molecule: long non-coding RNA, 1686 nt
Organism: Salmo trutta (river trout)
Lineage: Eukaryota; Metazoa; Chordata; Actinopteri; Salmoniformes; Salmonidae
Source: Ensembl